This 272-nucleotide ribosomal RNA is filed under the name Clostridioides difficile. Its description in RNAcentral is "partial 16S ribosomal RNA". It matches the Rfam family "Bacterial small subunit ribosomal RNA", at positions 221 to 510 of the family's 1533-position model. Lineage: Bacteria; Bacillati; Bacillota; Clostridia; Peptostreptococcales; Peptostreptococcaceae. The record is from RNAcentral.
CAGGAUGGACCCGCGUCUGAUUAGCUAGUUGGUAAGGUAACGGCUUACCAAGGCGACGAUCAGUAGCCGACCUGAGAGGGUGAUCGGCCACAUUGGAACUGAGACACGGUCCAAACUCCUACGGGAGGCAGCAGUGGGGAAUAUUGCACAAUGGGCGAAAGCCUGAUGCAGCAACGCCGCGUGAGUGAUGAAGGCCUUCGGGUCGUAAAACUCUGUCCUCAAGGAAGAUAAUGACGGUACUUGAGGAGGAAGCCCCGGCUAACUACGUGCCA